GUAGGUGGCAAGCGUUGUCCGGGAAUUAUUGGGGCGUAAAGCGCGCGCAGGCGGUUCUUUAAGUCUGAUGUGAAAGCCCACGGGCUCAACCGUGGGAGGGUCAUUGGAAACUGGAGAACUUGAGUACAGAAGAGGAAAGCGGAAUUCCACGUGUAGCGGUGAAAUGCGUAGAGAUGUGGAGGAACACCAGUGGCGAAGGCGGCUUUCUGGUCUGUAACUGACGCUGAGGCGCGAAAGCGUGGGGAGCAAACAGGAUUAGAUACCCUGGUAGUCCACGCCGUAAACGAUGAGUGCUAAGUGUUAGAGGGUUUCCGCCCCUUAGUGCUGCAGCUAACGCAUUAAGCACUCCGCCUGGGGAGUACGGCCGCAAAGGCUGA
This 377-nucleotide ribosomal RNA is filed under the name uncultured organism. RNAcentral's name for it is "partial 16S ribosomal RNA". It matches the Rfam family "Bacterial small subunit ribosomal RNA", at positions 527 to 897 of the family's 1533-position model. The record is from RNAcentral.